CUAUGACGUUAGCUCCGGCACGGGUGAGUAACACGUGGGCAACCUGCCUGUAAGACUGGGAUAACUUCGGGAAACCGAAGCUAAUACCGGAUAGGAUCUUCUCCUUCAUGGGAGAUGAUUGAAAGAUGGUUUCGGCUAUCACUUACAGAUGGGCCCGCGGUGCAUUAGCUAGUUGGUGAGGUAACGGCUCACCAAGGCAACGAUGCAUAGCCGACCUGAGAGGGUGAUCGGCCACACUGGGACUGAGACACGGCCCAGACUCCUACGGGAGGCAGCAGUAGGGAAUCUUCCGCAAUGGACGAAAGUCUGACGGAGCAACGCCGCGUGAGUGAUGAAGGCUUUCGGGUCGUAAAACUCUGUUGUUAGGGAAGAACAAGUACGAGAGUAACUGCUCGUACCUUGACGGUACCUAACCAGAAAGCCACGGCUAACUACGUGCCAGCAGCCGCGGUAAUACGUAGGUGGCAAGCGUUAUCCGGAAUUAUUGGGCGUAAAGCGCGCGCAGGCGGUUUCUUAAGUCUGAUGUGAAAGCCCACGGCUCAACCGUGGAGGGUCAUUGGAAACUGGGGGAACUUGAGUGCAGAAGAGAAAAGCGGAAUUCCACGUGUAGCGGUGAAAUGCGUAGAGAUGUGGAGGAA
RNAcentral lists this ribosomal RNA (638 nucleotides) under Bacillus sp. (in: firmicutes). RNAcentral describes it as "bacterial SSU rRNA". It matches the Rfam family "Bacterial small subunit ribosomal RNA", at positions 80 to 706 of the family's 1533-position model. Lineage: Bacteria; Bacillati; Bacillota; Bacilli; Caryophanales; Bacillaceae. The record is from RNAcentral.